Molecule: ribosomal RNA, 124 nt
Filed under: Exophiala xenobiotica
Lineage: Eukaryota; Fungi; Ascomycota; Eurotiomycetes; Chaetothyriales; Herpotrichiellaceae
Source: RNAcentral
GCAAUCGACCAUAGGAUUUUGUGGAAAACAGGACUUCCCGUUCGCUCAGUCAAUACUUAAGCCACAUGCCGACGAGUCAGUAGCAAAGUUGGUGACAAUUUGCGAAUCCUCGUUGUUGAUUGUU